UCAUUUUUAACAAAGUUGAUUAAUUAAUUUUUAAAGAAAAAUAGAUAUUUUUCCUUUCCACGGGGCAUUUCAAAGGAAAAAAGAAUCUGAAAUACACUUUAAGAAAGGAGUUUUUUUCUCCCCAUCGUAUUCAAUUCGGCAAUCAAUGUAACUUAUAAAAGAGACUCAGACUGAAUCAAAUUCGAUGG
This is a non-coding RNA of Schizosaccharomyces pombe (fission yeast), 188 nucleotides long. The record is from the annotation of a GenBank genome assembly. NCBI's taxonomy places the organism in Eukaryota, Fungi, Ascomycota, Schizosaccharomycetes, Schizosaccharomycetales, Schizosaccharomycetaceae.